Passer domesticus (house sparrow) is the source of this 390-nucleotide long non-coding RNA. RefSeq lists it as uncharacterized. Lineage: Eukaryota; Metazoa; Chordata; Aves; Passeriformes; Passeridae. The transcript is spliced from 3 exons. The record is from RefSeq and is a predicted model, not a curated record.
GCACAAGAACCAAAAGCUGAGUCCUGGAAAUUAGUUCAGCCAAGAGUGCCCAUAGUGGGAUAAGCUGUGCAGCCCAAUCUUCUGUGUUAACAUACCCUGAGGUUACUUUGGCUUGUAUUUGCUGCUGAAGGGAGCAUUACCUAACAGAGGCUCUAAACUUCGUAGAUCAGAUGCACCUCCAACCACACUGUGGGGACAGUGUCAUCUGACAAUGACUGUGAAAAGGAUUGGAAGGGAAGAUGUGUAAGAAAAAGCAUGCCACCCUGAUGCAAAAUUGCAGAAUCUUUGAUGCAGUUGCUCUGUCCACAAAUUCUUUGGUAAGUUCCAGCUCCUGCCUACAACAGGAGCCUACAAAGUUGAAGACCUCAGAAAACCUAUACAAGUCUCCAU